GACGCAAUGUGAUGCUUGAUUUUUAAAAAAAACAAAACUUUAUUUCAGAUAUAAUUAAUAUUUCCAUAAUUUAGGAUAAGCAGACACACUUCCUUGAGUCCUCUAUUUUAGGUAUCCCAUUGUACAUUCUUCAUAAAAAGCAGGAUCAGAAUAGCACUUGCCACAGCAUGGAUGGACCUGGAGAGCACCACGCUCAGCGAAACAAGCCAGUCGGAGAAAGAUAAAUAUCACAGGAUCUCACUCCUAUGUGGGAUACAAUGAUCCACAUAAACUGACGAACAAAAAUGGAUCCAGAGACAAGGUGGCACUGAGCAGACCGUCCAACGAAGAGGGAUCAAACAUCUUUUUCCACAUGUCUGAGAUGCUGCUCUGCCGGGUCGAGCGCCAUCUCGGCGACGGAGGAACCGUGAUGCUUGAUUUCAUGCGUCACCCUGACUGAGCCACGAGCACUCAGAUAGGCGGUCCGUCACCCUCCGCAUGUCUCUGUGAGGGCGUUUUCGGGGCGAGAUUAACAGCGAGUUCAGUAGACUGCACAAAGCAGAUUGCCCUCCCUGAAGUGGGUGGGCCGCCUCCCAGCAGCUGAGGGCCUGAAAGACCCGUCCUCCCCAGCAGCGGUCCUUCCUGCCUGCCUGGCUUCCAACGGGGACGUCAGCUCAUCGCCUGCCUCUGGAUUCAA
Molecule: long non-coding RNA, 676 nt
Organism: Myotis lucifugus (little brown bat)
Lineage: Eukaryota; Metazoa; Chordata; Mammalia; Chiroptera; Vespertilionidae
Exons: 3
Source: RefSeq, a predicted model, not a curated record